This 1593-nucleotide long non-coding RNA is filed under the name Jatropha curcas. RNAcentral's name for it is "long non-coding RNA (JCUR_LNC000320)". The record is from RNAcentral. Lineage: Eukaryota; Viridiplantae; Streptophyta; Magnoliopsida; Malpighiales; Euphorbiaceae.
AAUUUUAAAUAAAUCAAGCAUAUAUUCAAUUUUAAACUUUAUCUAUGAUGUUGGAUAAAAGAGGUCUCUGCUGGCUUUAACGCUUUAGUUCUGCUUUUGUUAACCUUCCACUGUCUCACGGGCCAUCUCUCACCCCAGAUUCCUUCAAACCACCGUUUUCUCCUUAACAGCAAAGAAAGCCAAAACCAUUCAUCCGCUGUCUACCAUCAGCACAUUGAAGUCCCACCAUUGCCAGAUAGCCCAGAGGUAAAUUUUUCUCUUUUUGGCUUCUAAUCUGUCACUUUUUUUUUUGGAUUUUUUUUGCUUUCAGAAGGUACAGUGUGUCCUUGCGGGUAAAAUGGGUUUAUUUGUUUUUAUCAAUUGUUGCUUUCAAUACUGUGUUUGUUAAUAGGUAAUUUUUUAAUGGAUAAAGGAUUUUCUAGAUAAUGUUCUGUUUUUGUAAAAAGUUAUUACUUUGAAUACUUUUUUGGAAAAAUGAAAAACUUGUUCCAUUAUAAGUCAUCAUUGUCUCAAACAAUUUUUAAUAAAUCAAGCAUAUAUUCAAUUUUAAAUUUUAUCUAUGAUGUUGAAUAAAAGAGGUCUCUACUGCCUUUAACGCUUUAGUUCUGCUUUUGUUAACCUUCCACUGUCUCAUAGGCUAUUUCUCACCCCAGAUUCCUUCAAAUCGCUGUUUUCUCCUUAACAGCAACGAAAGCCAAAACCAUUCAUCCGCUGUCUACCAUCCGCACAUUGAAGCCCCACCAUUGCCAGAUAGCCCAAAGGUAAAUUUGGCUCUUUUUGGCUUCUAAAUGGGGUUAUUUGUUUUUAUCAAUUGCUUCUUUCAAUUGAUUAUCUCCUCCUUUUGCAAUUAGUGGGGGGUAACUGUUAGCCAGAUUGCUCGGAACGACAUCCAUAUGAUAUUGGGGGCUGGAAUUCUAACUCAGUAAGAAGGUUUUGGGCUCAACGUACAUCAAUUUCACACCAUAUUUAAUUUUAUUUGGAGAGUGGUUGAGGACCACCGUUACCUUACUGCUCGAAAGAAUUACAAUUUGUUCCCCUUGAAGAGCUUGUCCAUAAAAAGAAGGUGGAAGGAGGAGUACUUCCUUAUUAGUCAUCAUCUGGAUUUUAGGAUACCUUCCAAUUGGAGAUGAUGGGCUCCUCAGUUGAGGCUUCCUCAGGACUUGACCACUGUUGAGGCUAGGCAGGUCAAGGCCUUGAAGCGUUAUGCCCUAAAUCCUCCUCCCAUUGUUUCUUUGCUGGAUGCUAAUAUCCCAUUGGGUCCAAAAACUCGUGUUUCAAAGAUAAGGGGCCUAUAGGAAACUGGGGGUGAGUUAGGUCCUAAUUGUUCUCCUCUUAUUCCAUUACUGACUUCUCUUUUAGCUUCUUUAUUUUUUGUAGAAAUGGGCCCAAGAUUGUCCAAGGAGAUGAAAGCGUGUUUGGCAGAGAAUAGAGACCAAUUAAUUGCCACUCAGUCUGGGUAGAGCCCUAGGGAGGCUAGGGAACCCAGCGCUCUAGCCUAAGGCGCUCUGAGGUGACGGUCAUAGUGUCUCCCGUGUGUCCUCCUAUGGUCGAGCUACCUACAGCUGAUCCCUCGAGUGUGACGGCUUUUGAUCC